This 434-nucleotide ribosomal RNA is filed under the name uncultured bacterium. RNAcentral's name for it is "partial 16S ribosomal RNA". It matches the Rfam family "Bacterial small subunit ribosomal RNA", at positions 29 to 507 of the family's 1533-position model. The record is from RNAcentral.
AGCGAACGCUGGCGGCAGGCCUAACACAUGCAAGUCGAACGAACCUUUCGGGGUUAGUGGCGGACGGGUGAGUAACACGUGGGAACGUGCCUUUAGGUUCGGAAUAACUCAGGGAAACUUGUGCUAAUACCGAAUGUGCCCUUCGGGGGAAAGAUUAAUCGCCUUUAGAGCGGCCCGCGUCUGAUUAGCUAGUUGGUUGAGGUAAUGGCUCACCAAGGCGACGAUCAGUAGCUGGUCUGAGAGGAUGAUCAGCCACAUUGGGACUGAGACACGGCCCAAACUCCUACGGGAGGCAGCAGUGGGGAAUCUUGCGCAAUGGGCGAAAGCCUGACGCAGCCAUGCCGCGUGAAUGAUGAAGGUCUUAGGAUUGAAAAAUUCUUUCACCGGGGACGAUAAUGACGGUACCCGGAGAAGAAGCCCCGGCUAACUUCGUG